AUUGAACGCUGGCGGCAGGCCUAACACAUGCAAGUCGAACGAGUGGCGGACGGGUGAGUAAUGUCUGGGAAACUGCCUGAUGGAGGGGGAUAACUACUGGAAACGGUAGCUAAUACCGCAUCCCAUCAGAUGUGCCCAGAUGGGAUUGGCUUGUUGGUGGGGUAACGGCUCACCAAGGCGAAGGUCCCUAGCUGGUCUGAGCGGAUGACGAGCCAAACUGGCACGGAGAGGCGGUCCAGAGGCCUGCGUGAGGCAGCCGUGGGGAAAUUGGGACAAUGGGUGCAAGCCUGAUGCAGCCAUGCCGCGUGUAUGAAGAAGGCCUUCGGGUUGUAAAGUACUUUCAGCGGGGAGGCGUUACCCGCAGAAGAAGCACCGGCUAACUCCGUGCCAGCAGCCGCGGUAAUUC
This 406-nucleotide ribosomal RNA is filed under the name uncultured bacterium. RNAcentral's name for it is "partial 16S ribosomal RNA". It matches the Rfam family "Bacterial small subunit ribosomal RNA", at positions 29 to 526 of the family's 1533-position model. The record is from RNAcentral.